RNAcentral lists this ribosomal RNA (497 nucleotides) under uncultured bacterium. Its description in RNAcentral is "partial 16S ribosomal RNA". It matches the Rfam family "Bacterial small subunit ribosomal RNA", at positions 28 to 507 of the family's 1533-position model. The record is from RNAcentral.
GACGAACGCUGGCGGCGUGCCUAAUACAUGCAAGUAGAACGCUGAAGAGAGGAGCUUGCUCUUCUUGGAUGAGUUGCGAACGGGUGAGUAACGCGUAGGUAACCUGCCUUGUAGCGGGGGAUAACUAUUGGAAACGAUAGCUAAUACCGCAUAACAAUGGAUGACCCAUGUCAUUUAUUUGAAAGGGGCAAAUGCUCCACUACAAGAUGGACCUGCGUUGUAUUAGCUAGUAGGUGAGGUAACGGCUCACCUAGGCGACGAUACAUAGCCGACCUGAGAGGGUGAUCGGCCACACUGGGACUGAGGCACGGCCCAGACUCCUACGGGAGGCAGCAGUAGGGAAUCUUCGGCAAUGGGGGCAACCCUGACCGAGCAACGCCGCGUGAGUGAAGAAGGUUUUCGGAUCGUAAAGCUCUGUUGUAAGUCAAGAACGAGUGUGAGAGUGGAAAGUUCACACUGUGACGGUAGCUUACCAGAAAGGGACGGCUAACUACGUG